Molecule: long non-coding RNA, 248 nt
Organism: Dreissena polymorpha
Lineage: Eukaryota; Metazoa; Mollusca; Bivalvia; Myida; Dreissenidae
Exons: 3
Source: RefSeq, a predicted model, not a curated record
CUCCGCGUCCGCCAUUACACUGCUGCUUAACAAUCGAUAUUGUCCAGACUUAACUAACCACAUGGUGUUAUAAACCACACUGGGUGGCAGAUGACAGUCUGGUCAUUAAACACAAUUGAUGCCACCAUGUCUCAUCUUCCUGGUAGUAUUAAGCAGUCAUUUGACUCGCACAAGUUAGCAGCAGUGUAAUGGCGGACAGUCACGUGACUGACGAUAUGGCGGCGGUCAAUUUAUCGAUUAUGGAACGG